UGGGGAAUUUUGGACAAUGGGGGAAACCCUGAUCCAGCCAUCCCGCGUGUUCGAUGAAGGCCUUCGGGUUGUAAAGCACUUUUGUCAGGAAAGAAACGUCAUGGGUUAAUACCCCGUGAAACUGACGGUACCUGCAGAAUAAGCACCGGCUAACUACGUGCCAGCAGCCGCGGUAAUACGUAGGGUGCAAGCGUUAAUCGGAAUUACUGGGCGUAAUGCGUGCGCAGGUGUUUCGGAAAGAAAGAUGUGAAAUCCCAUAGCUCAACUGUGGAACUGCAUUAUUAGCUACCGGGCUAGAGUGUGUCGGAGGGAGGAGGAAUUGGGCGAGUAGCAGUGAGAUGCGUAGAUAUGAGGAGAAACACCGGUGGCGAAGGCAGCCUCCUGGGAUAACACUGACGCUCAUGCACGAAAGCGUGGGGAGCAAACAGG
RNAcentral lists this ribosomal RNA (429 nucleotides) under Acidobacteriota bacterium. RNAcentral's name for it is "Acidobacteria bacterium partial 16S ribosomal RNA". It matches the Rfam family "Bacterial small subunit ribosomal RNA", at positions 355 to 776 of the family's 1533-position model. Lineage: Bacteria; Pseudomonadati; Acidobacteriota. The record is from RNAcentral.